CAAGGCUGCCAUUUCCUUUGUGAACAUACAAGGAAAUCAUUGAAAACUGCUGGGAGUACUUCAAAAUGAGGAUGACCUUUGGCAUGCAUGACUGGAGCACAACUAAAUGGAAGGGACCAACCAUGUCACAUCCUGUGCAGCAAGACGGUGACAGUUGUGGGGUAGUUGUGGUGUUGAUUGCCAGGGAACUCAUGGUGUGUUUUCCUCUCUUGCCACAAAUUACAUUUGGAACAUCUGGCACGGAAAUGGCAGCCGUUAGACAAGAGCUGGCACAAAUGCUUCUCUCCGAUUCUGUGUUUGAGUCCGAUAGCAACUGUGCAAUGUGUUCCAAUUCCACGCCUCCAGGUUCCAGUGCUCUACUUACAGAUUGG
This is a long non-coding RNA of Oryzias melastigma (Indian medaka), 371 nucleotides long. RefSeq lists it as uncharacterized. The transcript has 4 exons. The record is from RefSeq and is a predicted model, not a curated record. Lineage: Eukaryota; Metazoa; Chordata; Actinopteri; Beloniformes; Adrianichthyidae.